This is a long non-coding RNA of Poecile atricapillus (Black-capped chickadee), 1063 nucleotides long. RefSeq lists it as uncharacterized. The record is from RefSeq and is a predicted model, not a curated record. Lineage: Eukaryota; Metazoa; Chordata; Aves; Passeriformes; Paridae. The transcript has 4 exons.
CCAGUGUUUGGUCCUGCGUGCCCAGCCUCUGCAAAAUUAAGCACCAAAACUCUGCUGGGCUCUCUAGUGGAACAGUGCUCCAUCUCUCUUUUGGAAAAUCCAGCCCUCAAGGAUAAAAGUAUAACAACAAAUCAGCUUCCACUCAUGUAGGCCAACAGGUAUCUCUCUGCCAAGAAGAAUCUUGCUUUAUGACUUGUGAAUUGAAAUUUGUACCCUCUCUAAGCACUAUUCUAUCCAAAGGGCUCUGUGGUGAGAUAGCUUGCUUACUGCAUGUGCCAGGAGAAGCAGCCACGAUUCCUGACAUCUUGCUUUGGGAGCAGUAAGAGGCCAGCUCCCCAGAGCUGGAAUGGGAGGAAGCAUAUUGCCACAGUGUGGCUUUUUCCCUGCUGGGAAGGAAAUUCCAACCAUUUUUUAUGAAGUCUUCUGUCCCCAGAAGUAUGUGAGGCUGAUCUGUCAGAGUGGGACAAAAGGAUCAGUGUCUAAACCUUAAUGUUGUUGCCCCAUGGCUCCAGCAGUGACUUUCCAGCACCAACCACUCUAAUCACAACGGAAACCAGUACUGGUAAAUCCAACAUAAAUUCACUAAAGAAUUGCUUGUAUUUUGUCCAAAUGACAGAACUUAACCAGUUCCACAGCCAGCCCACCUCUGAAACUCAGUGUCGCCAGUGCAUUGGUAUGGUGAAGGCUGUUAGAGUAAGUAUAAUAUAUAUUAAAAAAAAAAACUAUUGAAAAUACCAGCUAACAAAUUAACUUGUAUAGCUAAAACACUGGAUUAUUUUGAUUAAGGAGAAAUUUUCAAGAAGAAUUAAUGCCAAUGGACUGAGGUAGUUCUUGGAACUUAUUUCAGAGACAAGAGGAAAAAGGGGUAAAUCUUUGUUCACCAGACUCAAAAACCAGGGAAGCUGGAGUGUGGAAGUCAUUAUGAGAUUAACAGAAUAGAAAAUUGCCUUGAAUUUAUGAGCAAGAAAAUGAUUUAUUUGUUCUUUUGUGCUUAAGGAGAAAGGGACUCUGAAUGAUCUGCUUCUCAAAAUAAAAGUAAUCUCACAUUUGGAUUGCUAGCUGU